This 204-nucleotide unclassified non-coding RNA is filed under the name uncultured fungus. RNAcentral describes it as "sequence contains ITS1". Lineage: Eukaryota; Fungi. The record is from RNAcentral.
GUAUAUUAGUGCCCAGCACAACAUUAUUUCAUUACAUUCGUGUUUGUGUAAAUCCUCUACCAGCCGAAGCCAGCAAAGGCCAAUGGUUCACAAGAGGGUGUUGGAUAUAUGCCCCCAACGUGCACAUGCUCUUGCAGGAGCCAGCACUGAAGGAAAGACAAUUUCACAUCAUUAAUGAUCCUUCCGCAGGUUCACCUACGGAAA